Long non-coding RNA from Drosophila busckii, 405 nucleotides. RefSeq lists it as uncharacterized. The transcript is spliced from 3 exons. Lineage: Eukaryota; Metazoa; Arthropoda; Insecta; Diptera; Drosophilidae. The record is from RefSeq and is a predicted model, not a curated record.
AUUUAAUUGAAAAUGAAAGUCGUUACUACAUUAUUAUUUCUCUUGCUCUUGGCAUAUAUCUGGGAAGUUGAAUCGCAAAGAGUAGUACACACAACGACAACUACGACAAAACGAACAACAACGAAACUCAGGAAAGGGAAUUUUAAUGAAAAUCGUAUAUACAAUAAUAAUACGAUUCAAGUCCAGCAAAAUAAUGAUAACAGAUGCCCACAAUGUCCAGAUUGUCCUGAUUGUCCCGAUUGUCCCGACUGUCCUCACUGUCCAAAAUGUCUUAAAUGUAAAAUUACUUUGCCAAAUUGGACGGUUUACAGUUGUGUAAAAAAGAAAAACAAGGAAUGUAAGGAGCUCACUAACUGAAAAUAAAAAUAUGCAUAUGUACAUAUAUCGAUGUACUUAUGUAUGAAU